This 199-nucleotide long non-coding RNA is filed under the name Zostera marina. RNAcentral describes it as "long non-coding RNA (ZMAR_LNC002484)". Lineage: Eukaryota; Viridiplantae; Streptophyta; Magnoliopsida; Alismatales; Zosteraceae. The record is from RNAcentral.
GAAGAAGACUAGUCGAGGUUUCGGACUGGGAACUUGUAUCCUCGUAUGUAUCUUCUUUAGCAUAGCGAGGUUUCUUCCGGCUGGACGGCUCGAGUUCGUCCAGCUUGUCAUUGUUCUCCUCUUCUAUCUCAAUAUAUGAUUGAGCUUGUUGGAAGAGGUCGGGCAGGGUCUCCACUUUAUGGAGCAUCAUAUUCUAGGC